RNAcentral lists this ribosomal RNA (460 nucleotides) under uncultured bacterium. RNAcentral's name for it is "partial 16S ribosomal RNA". It matches the Rfam family "Bacterial small subunit ribosomal RNA", at positions 338 to 795 of the family's 1533-position model. The record is from RNAcentral.
CCUACGGGAGACAGCAGUGAGGAAUAUUGGUCAAUGGCCGUAAGGCUGAACCAGCCAAGUCGCGUGAAGGAAGAAGGAUCUAUGGUUUGUAAACUUCUUUUAUAGGGGAAUAAAGGUAUCCACGUGUGGAUAUUUGCAUGUACCCUAUGAAUAAGCAUCGGCUAACUCCGUGCCAGCAGCCGCGGUAAUACGGAGGAUGCGAGCGUUAUCCGGAUUUAUUGGGUUUAAAGGGUGCGUAGGUUGUUUUUUAAGUCAGCGGUGAAAGUUUGUGGCUCAACCAUAAAAUUGCCGUUGAAACUGGAAGACUUGAGUGUGUUUGAGGUAGGCGGAAUGUGUGGUGUAGCGGUGAAAUGCAUAGAUAUCACGCAGAACUCCGAUUGCGAAGGCAGCUUACUAAGCCAUAACUGACACUGAAGCACGAAAGCGUGGGUAUCAAACAGGAUUAGAUACCCUAGUAGUC